RNAcentral lists this ribosomal RNA (492 nucleotides) under uncultured bacterium. Its description in RNAcentral is "partial 16S ribosomal RNA". It matches the Rfam family "Bacterial small subunit ribosomal RNA", at positions 29 to 507 of the family's 1533-position model. The record is from RNAcentral.
AGUGAACGCUGGCGGUAGGCCUAACACAUGCAAGUCGAACGGCAGCACAGUAAGAGCUUGCUCUUACGGGUGGCGAGUGGCGGACGGGUGAGGAAUACAUCGGAAUCUACUUUUUCGUGGGGGAUAACGUAGGGAAACUUACGCUAAUACCGCAUACGACCUACGGGUGAAAGCAGGGGAUCUUCGGACCUUGCGCGAUUGAAUGAGCCGAUGUCGGAUUAGCUAGUUGGCGGGGUAAAGGCCCACCAAGGCGACGAUGCGUAGCUGGUCUGAGAGGAUGAUCAGCCACACUGGAACUGAGACACGGUCCAGACUCCUACGGGAGGCAGCAGUAGGGAAUAUUGGGCAAUGGGCGCAAGCCUGAUCCAGCCAUACCGCGUGGGUGAAGAAGGCCUUCGGGUUGUAAAGCCCUUUUGUUGGGAAAGAAAAGCAGCAGGUUAAUACCCCGCUGUUCUGACGGUACCCAAAGAAUAAGCACCGGCUAACUUCGUG